Molecule: ribosomal RNA, 465 nt
Filed under: uncultured Porphyromonadaceae bacterium
Lineage: Bacteria; Pseudomonadati; Bacteroidota; Bacteroidia; Bacteroidales; Porphyromonadaceae
Description: bacterial SSU rRNA
Rfam family: Bacterial small subunit ribosomal RNA
Source: RNAcentral
UUUCCUACGGGGGGCUGCAGUGAGGAAUAUUGGUCAAUGGGCGAGAGCCUGAACCAGCCAAGUCGCGUGAAGGAAGAAGGAUCUAUGGUUCGUAAACUUCUUUUGCAGGGGAAUAAAGUGCAGGACGUGUCCUGUUUUGUAUGUACCCUGAGAAUAAGGAUCGGCUAACUCCGUGCCAGCAGCCGCGGUAAUACGGAGGAUCCGAGCGUUAUCCGGAUUUAUUGGGUUUAAAGGGUGCGUAGGUGGUUUGAUAAGUCAGCGGUGAAAGUUUGCAGCUUAACUGUAAAAAUGCCGUUGAAACUGUCGGACUUGAGUGUAAAUGAGGUAGGCGGAAUGCGUGGUGUAGCGGUGAAAUGCAUAGAUAUCACGCAGAACUCCGAUUGCGAAGGCAGCUUACUAAGCUACAACUGACACUGAAGCACGAAAGCGUGGGGAUCAAACAGGAUUAGAUACCCCGGUAGUCCA